This 1748-nucleotide long non-coding RNA is filed under the name Canis lupus familiaris (dog). RNAcentral describes it as "lncRNA (ENSCAFG00000057545.1, ENSCAFG00845004420.1)". Lineage: Eukaryota; Metazoa; Chordata; Mammalia; Carnivora; Canidae. The record is from RNAcentral.
GUUGGUCUCAUCUGGAGAGAAGCUCAACCAUAAAUGCCUUGUUGCACUGUUCAGGCUGCACCAGGAGGAGAGAGUACCAUCUAAAGAAUGUUGAUUGAAAACCAGAGGCAAAAAUAGGGCGGCCUAGAGGAUGAGGGUCUGAAACAGUGCCCUGAAAGGAGCUGUUGCCCAAAAUGCCAAAAUCUGCAAUGUGGCUUUUUAGCUUUGCUGUCUUGGCUCUGCUAGUUUGGUGCCUGAUUUAUCAGAUAAGAAUUUGAACCCCAAAGUGCUACAAGAGUUAUGACCGCAAAGACAUGGGUAGCAGGUAGGUAUUGAGGCCGAUUAUUAACAAAUACAUUAGUGAUUUAUGCACUCGCAUGUGGUCCUUCUUCCAGGUAGACCCCUGAAGAGGUCAUAGCUUUGUUCCAAUUACGUGGCAGUUUCCUAUCUAUUCUGGGAAUUACUCUUUGGAAAUUGCCAUCAGAACCCAAACGUACUUUUUAAAUGUCCACAAUUAUGACAAAUCUAGAUUUGAUUCUUUGAAACAGCCUAGAAUUAAUGGGAGCUAAGUCUGGUGAAUUAGUCCAAUGAUUAAGCAUCACAGUACUGUUCAGGGCCACGUGAUGUGCAAUCCAGCCUUCACAAUAACAUGGCCAGACAAAGCACAGGAGGAUCGGACGCAGGGCCAGUAGGGAGGAGGGAGGACAUGGGAAAGUGGAACCCCACUUAGUCAGGGUAGGUUAUGGGCUUACGAUAUCCUUGCUUCUCCAAAGUGCCCAAGGUACUAAACCCCAAAAAGCAAAGCAGAAUCAGACACGGUUUAGAAGGCCUGGUAUGAGUUGGGAUUUAUAGAAUCAACCAUAAUAUUGGAGUGACGUCGCUCUGGUUUCUUAGACUGAGAGCUCCUUUUUUUCGGCACAUCUGCUCAGGGGCAUAAAGAACAGAACCAGGCUCUGGUAAGAAGAUUUGUAAGAGUGAUAUACAAAUGGUAUGAAUAGGAGUUUAGGAGGAACCACCAGUUAUGUGGGGAGAAUGGAGCAUGAAGCAGGUUGACCAGAUGGAUAGACUUGCUUAUUAUGGGAGAAGCUCAGUGCUUCAUUGAGCUCCUUACUGAGUCCUUUUCUGCCCAGGUGGUCUGCUUUCUGGCUUUCUUUACAUUGUCUUCUUACCACUCUCCCCUUUGUUCUCUGAGCUUCCACCAAAAAAAAGCCAACCAAUGGCUUUCUUUCUGUUCUUUAAACACAUCUACUUCCUUUCUGCUCUCGCUGUCAUUCUUCCUAGGACACAUUUACUUUAGACUUCCACCUGACUGGCUCUCUCCCAUGUAGGUCUUAACUCCAAUAUUAACAUCUCUGACCUUUCAGACCAAAGUAGUUUCCCUUCUUUUUAACCAAACACCCCCCUAAUGUCCCAGUUACUUUUAACCCAGUACCCUGUUUUGUGUCCUUUGUAGCAUAUCCAAACUCGCAUUGAUUAUUUGCUCGCUUCUUUCUUACCCACCUGCCAGCCUUAGAAUGGAAUUCGGUGAGGGCAGGGUCUUUGUUCUCACAUUGACCCUCAGAGCUGUAACUGUGCAUGAUGCAUGACAGGUACUCAAUCAGGAUCUACCAAAUGAAUCAACAUGUGAACAAUAGCUUGAUCCAUCAGAUAGAAUUAGCCCUCUUAAUUUGAAGGGUAAGAGAAUUCAGGGAAUGAAUAGAAUCUCCCGGUGUCACUUGGUCCCAGAAUUAUUUCACUGUAGGUUUUAGGUAAUGAGGGCUGUUCCAUUU